CGGAGGGAAACCGAGUCUUAACCGGGCGUUAAGUUGCAGGGUAUAGACCCGAAACCCGGUGAUCUAGCCAUGGGCAGGUUGAAGGUUGGGUAACACUAACUGGAGGACCGAACCGACUAAUGUUGAAAAAUUAGCGGAUGACCUGUGGCUGGGGGUGAAAGGCCAAUCAAACCGGGAGAUAGCUGGUUCUCCCCGAAAGCUAUUUAGGUAGCGCCUCGUGAAUUCAUCUCCGGGGGUAGAGCACUGUUUCGGCUAGGGGGCCAUCCCGGCUUACCAACCCGAUGCAAACUGCGAAUACCGGAGAAUGUUAUCACGGGAGACACACGGCGGGUGCUAACGUCCGUCGUGAAGAGGGAAACAACCCAGACCGCCAGCUAAGGUCCCAAAGUCAUGGUUAAGUGGGAAACGAUGUGGGAAGGCCCAGACAGCCAGGAUGUUGGCUUAGAAGCAGCCAUCAUUUAAAGAAAGCGUAAUAGCUCACUGGUCGAGUCGGCCUGCGCGGAAGAUGUAACGGGGCUAAACCAUGCACCGAAGCUGCGGCAGCGACACUGUGUGUUGUUGGGUAGGGGAGCGUUCUGUAAGCCUGUGAAGGUGUGUCGUGAGGCAUGCUGGAGGUAUCAGAAGUGCGAAUGCUGACAUAAGUAACGAUAAAGCGGGUGAAAAGCCCGCUCGCCGGAAGACCAAGGGUUCCUGUCCAACGUUAAUCGGGGCAGGGUGAGUCGACCCCUAAGGCGAGGCCGAAAGGCGUAGUCGAUGGGAAACGGGUUAAUAUUCCCGUACUUGGUGUUACUGCGAAGGGGGGACGGAGAAGGCUAUGUUGGCCGGGCGACGGUUGUCCCGGUUUAAGCGUGUAGGUGUGUGUUCCAGGUAAAUCCGGUUCACUUUAACACUGAGGCGUGACGACGAGGCACUACGGUGCUGAAGCAACAAAUGCCCUGCUUCCAGGAAAAGCCUCUAAGCAUCAGGUAACAUCAAAUCGUACCCCAAACCGACACAGGUGGUCAGGUAGAGAAUACCAAGGCGCUUGAGAGAACUCGGGUGAAGGAACUAGGCAAAAUGGUGCCGUAACUUCGGGAGAAGGCACGCUGACACGUAGGUGAAGUGAUUUACUCAUGGAGCUGAAGUCAGUCGAAGAUACCAGCUGGCUGCAACUGUUUAUUAAAAACACAGCACUGUGCAAACACGAAAGUGGACGUAUACGGUGUGACGCCUGCCCGGUGCCGGAAGGUUAAUUGAUGGGGUCAGCGCAAGCGAAGCUCCUGAUCGAAGCCCCGGUAAACGGCGGCCGUAACUAUAACGGUCCUAAGGUAGCGAAAUUCCUUGUCGGGUAAGUUCCGACCUGCACGAAUGGCGUAAUGAUGGCCAGGCUGUCUCCACCCGAGACUCAGUGAAAUUGAACUCGCUGUGAAGAUGCAGUGUACCCGCGGCAAGACGGAAAGACCCCGUGAACCUUUACUAUAGCUUGACACUGAACAUUGAGCCUUGAUGUGUAGGAUAGGUGGGAGGCUUUGAAGUGUGGACGCCAGUCUGCAUGGAGCCGACCUUGAAAUACCACCCUUUAAUGUUUGAUGUUCUAACGUGGACCCGUUACCCGGGUUGCGGACAGUGUCUGGUGGGUAGUUUGACUGGGGCGGUCUCCUCCUAAAGAGUAACGGAGGAGCACGAAGGUUGGCUAAUCCUGGUCGGACAUCAGGAGGUUAGUGCAAUGGCAUAAGCCAGCUUGACUGCGAGCGUGACGGCGCGAGCAGGUGCGAAAGCAGGUCAUAGUGAUCCGGUGGUUCUGAAUGGAAGGGCCAUCGCUCAACGGAUAAAAGGUACUCCGGGGAUAACAGGCUGAUACCGCCCAAGAGUUCAUAUCGACGGCGGUGUUUGGCACCUCGAUGUCGGCUCAUCACAUCCUGGGGCUGAAGUAGGUCCCAAGGGUAUGGCUGUUCGCCAUUUAAAGUGGUACGCGAGCUGGGUUUAGAACGUCGUGAGACAGUUCGGUCCCUAUCUGCCGUGGGCGCUGGAGAACUGAGGGGGGCUGCUCCUAGUACGAGAGGACCGGAGUGGACGCAUCACUGGUGUUCGGGUUGUCAUGCCAAUGGCACUGCCCGGUAGCUAAAUGCGGAAGAGAUAAGUGCUGAAAGCAUCUAAGCACGAAACUUGCCCCGA
This 2154-nucleotide ribosomal RNA is filed under the name Salmonella enterica subsp. enterica serovar Enteritidis. RNAcentral describes it as "partial 23S ribosomal RNA". It matches the Rfam family "Bacterial large subunit ribosomal RNA", at positions 667 to 2802 of the family's 2925-position model. The record is from RNAcentral. Lineage: Bacteria; Pseudomonadati; Pseudomonadota; Gammaproteobacteria; Enterobacterales; Enterobacteriaceae.